AACAGAUAAGGAGCUUGCUCCUUUGACGUUAGCGGCGGACGGGUGAGUAACACGUGGGUAACCUACCUAUAAGACUGGGACAACUUCGGGAAACCGGAGCUAAUACCGGAUAAUAUGUUGAACCGCAUGGUUCAAUAGUGAAAGAUGGUUUUGCUAUCACUUAUAGAUGGACCCGCGCCGUAUUAGCUAGUUGGUGAGGUAACGGCUCACCAAGGCAACGAUACGUAGCCGACCUGAGAGGGUGAUCGGCCACACUGGAACUGAGACACGGUCCAGACUCCUACGGGAGGCAGCAGUAGGGAAUCUUCCGCAAUGGGCGAAAGCCUGACGGAGCAACGCCGCGUGAGUGAUGAAGGUCUUAGGAUCGUAAAACUCUGUUAUUAGGGAAGAACAAACGUGUAAGUAACUGUGCACGUCUUGACGGUACCUAAUCAGAAAGCCACGGCUAACUACGUGC
RNAcentral lists this ribosomal RNA (457 nucleotides) under Staphylococcus lugdunensis. RNAcentral's name for it is "bacterial SSU rRNA". It matches the Rfam family "Bacterial small subunit ribosomal RNA", at positions 68 to 508 of the family's 1533-position model. The record is from RNAcentral. Lineage: Bacteria; Bacillati; Bacillota; Bacilli; Caryophanales; Staphylococcaceae.